Molecule: long non-coding RNA, 230 nt
Filed under: Elaeis guineensis (African oil palm)
Lineage: Eukaryota; Viridiplantae; Streptophyta; Magnoliopsida; Arecales; Arecaceae
Description: long non-coding RNA (EGUI_LNC056691)
Source: RNAcentral
CUCUUGACCCCGGAACCCAUAAUGUGUGGAACUCGUGAUCAGAGAAUCCUGAUUCUCGAUCACUGAGUCUCAAACAUGAAAGAUUCUACACCAGCCAUCAGAUCAGAUAGGAACCUCUAAUGUGUGUGACCCCGCAGGUUCGAACCUAAGCCGGUAGCAAUGGUACCCGAUAAGAAUCAAUUUUUGUACUAAUCGAAGUGACCAUCUAGCAAUGGUACCCGACAUCCAGA